CACAACCUUCAAGCCCGGCUUGUAGUUGGGGUCCGGUCUCUCCCCGACCGCCCCGAAAGACAACGGCGGCGUCGUGCGGACCGUGGUGCAACGAGCUGUCUCCAGCACGCACCGGCGGGUUAGCACGGCCCAGCCUCUACUCCCCCUUUUUAUUUUAUCAGGUUGACCUCGGAUCAGGUAGGAAUACCCGCUGAACUUAA
RNAcentral lists this unclassified non-coding RNA (200 nucleotides) under soil metagenome. RNAcentral's name for it is "partial contains internal transcribed spacer 2 and large subunit ribosomal RNA". The record is from RNAcentral.